This 319-nucleotide ribosomal RNA is filed under the name uncultured bacterium. RNAcentral describes it as "bacterial SSU rRNA". It matches the Rfam family "Bacterial small subunit ribosomal RNA", at positions 28 to 334 of the family's 1533-position model. The record is from RNAcentral.
GAUGAACGCUAGCGACAGGCCUAACACAUGCAAGUCGAGGGGCAUCGGGGCGAGGAGCAAUCCUUGCCGCCGGCGACCGGCGCACGGGUGAGUAACGCGUAUGCGACCUGCCCGUUGCAGGGGGAUAAUCGGGAGAAAUCCCGUCUAAUACCGCGUAACGCCGCGGGGCUGCAUGGCCCUGCGGCCAAAGGGAGCGAUUCCGGCAACGGAUGGGCAUGCGUGACAUUAGCUAGUUGGCGGGGCAACGGCCCACCAAGGCGACGAUGUCUAGGGGUUCUGAGAGGAAGGUCCCCCACACUGGGACUGAGACACGGCCCAA